GGACCUGACUGCUAUCGGAUUAAUACUAAGCCAUGCGAGUUUUUGUAGUAAUACAAGGCAUACGGCUCAGUAACACGUAGUCAACCUACCUUAUGGACGAGGAUAAUCUCGGGAAACUGAGCAUAAUACUCGAUAGAUCAUAAUGCCUGGAAUGGUUUAUGGUUGAAAUGAUUCGUCGCCAUAAGAUGGGACUGCGGCCUAUCAGCUUGUUGGUGAGGUAAUGGCCCACCAAGGCGAUUACAGGUACGGGCUCUGAGAGGAGAAGCCCGGAGAUGGGUACUGAGACAAGGACCCAGGCCCUAUGGGGCGCAGCAGGCGAGAAAACUUUGCAAUGUGCGAAAGCACGACAAGGUUAAUCCGAGUGAUUUCUGCUAAAGGAAUCUUUUACCAGUUCUAAAAAUACUGGCGAAUAAGGGGUGGGCAAGUUCUGGUGU
RNAcentral lists this ribosomal RNA (434 nucleotides) under uncultured archaeon. RNAcentral's name for it is "bacterial SSU rRNA". It matches the Rfam family "Archaeal small subunit ribosomal RNA", at positions 19 to 458 of the family's 1478-position model. The record is from RNAcentral.